Molecule: ribosomal RNA, 1556 nt
Filed under: Salmonella enterica subsp. enterica serovar Panama str. ATCC 7378
Lineage: Bacteria; Pseudomonadati; Pseudomonadota; Gammaproteobacteria; Enterobacterales; Enterobacteriaceae
Also listed under: 1 other name
Description: bacterial SSU rRNA
Rfam family: Bacterial small subunit ribosomal RNA
Source: RNAcentral
UUAAAUUGAAGAGUUUGAUCAUGGCUCAGAUUGAACGCUGGCGGCAGGCCUAACACAUGCAAGUCGAACGGUAACAGGAAGCAGCUUGCUGCUUUGCUGACGAGUGGCGGACGGGUGAGUAAUGUCUGGGAAACUGCCUGAUGGAGGGGGAUAACUACUGGAAACGGUGGCUAAUACCGCAUAACGUCGCAAGACCAAAGAGGGGGACCUUCGGGCCUCUUGCCAUCAGAUGUGCCCAGAUGGGAUUAGCUUGUUGGUGAGGUAACGGCUCACCAAGGCGACGAUCCCUAGCUGGUCUGAGAGGAUGACCAGCCACACUGGAACUGAGACACGGUCCAGACUCCUACGGGAGGCAGCAGUGGGGAAUAUUGCACAAUGGGCGCAAGCCUGAUGCAGCCAUGCCGCGUGUAUGAAGAAGGCCUUCGGGUUGUAAAGUACUUUCAGCGGGGAGGAAGGUGUUGUGGUUAAUAACCGCAGCAAUUGACGUUACCCGCAGAAGAAGCACCGGCUAACUCCGUGCCAGCAGCCGCGGUAAUACGGAGGGUGCAAGCGUUAAUCGGAAUUACUGGGCGUAAAGCGCACGCAGGCGGUCUGUCAAGUCGGAUGUGAAAUCCCCGGGCUCAACCUGGGAACUGCAUUCGAAACUGGCAGGCUUGAGUCUUGUAGAGGGGGGUAGAAUUCCAGGUGUAGCGGUGAAAUGCGUAGAGAUCUGGAGGAAUACCGGUGGCGAAGGCGGCCCCCUGGACAAAGACUGACGCUCAGGUGCGAAAGCGUGGGGAGCAAACAGGAUUAGAUACCCUGGUAGUCCACGCCGUAAACGAUGUCUACUUGGAGGUUGUGCCCUUGAGGCGUGGCUUCCGGAGCUAACGCGUUAAGUAGACCGCCUGGGGAGUACGGCCGCAAGGUUAAAACUCAAAUGAAUUGACGGGGGCCCGCACAAGCGGUGGAGCAUGUGGUUUAAUUCGAUGCAACGCGAAGAACCUUACCUGGUCUUGACAUCCACGGAAGAAUCCAGAGAUGGAUUUGUGCCUUCGGGAACCGUGAGACAGGUGCUGCAUGGCUGUCGUCAGCUCGUGUUGUGAAAUGUUGGGUUAAGUCCCGCAACGAGCGCAACCCUUAUCCUUUGUUGCCAGCGGUCCGGCCGGGAACUCAAAGGAGACUGCCAGUGAUAAACUGGAGGAAGGUGGGGAUGACGUCAAGUCAUCAUGGCCCUUACGACCAGGGCUACACACGUGCUACAAUGGCGCAUACAAAGAGAAGCGACCUCGCGAGAGCAAGCGGACCUCAUAAAGUGCGUCGUAGUCCGGAUUGGAGUCUGCAACUCGACUCCAUGAAGUCGGAAUCGCUAGUAAUCGUGGAUCAGAAUGCCACGGUGAAUACGUUCCCGGGCCUUGUACACACCGCCCGUCACACCAUGGGAGUGGGUUGCAAAAGAAGUAGGUAGCUUAACCUUCGGGAGGGCGCUUACCACUUUGUGAUUCAUGACUGGGGUGAAGUCGUAACAAGGUAACCGUAGGGGAACCUGCGGUUGGAUCACCUCCUUACCUGAAAGAAGC